Molecule: long non-coding RNA, 640 nt
Filed under: Mytilus galloprovincialis (Mediterranean mussel)
Lineage: Eukaryota; Metazoa; Mollusca; Bivalvia; Mytilida; Mytilidae
Source: RNAcentral
GGGGGGGGGGGGCUAGGAUGAAAUUUGAAAAAAAAUAGGCAGGACAGGAGUUUUGAGUAAAAAAAAAAGGCAGGAUGAGACACUUUGCAAAAAAAAAAAAAGGCAGGAUGACAAUUUAGGUAAAAAAAGUCAGGAUAAACUAAUACAAAAAAAGGCAGGACCGAAUAGAGUGAAAAAUAAAAAGGCAGGACAGAGAUUACAACUAAAAAAAAAUGCAGGACAAAAUUUUUCAUCCUAGCCCCCCAUAAAAAUUAAAUGGUAGCUCCCUAAGCUAUCAAAGUUAAAGAUAUUCGAAUAAAUUAGAUUGAUAUGUCGUGUUGUGUCGCAAUUGAGAGUUCUUGUAAUUUAUUGUUGUUUUUAAAGUCAAAAGAAUUUUAAAGCAUUGCGGAUCAAUAUGAAUAUGAGAAUAGCUAGCGAGGUACCGCCAUCACCCAGCUUUUGAUAGAAAAUGUCGUUUGUUUGCAUAAAAUUGUCAAACAAUUUCACCUUUUGUACACUAGGCACAGUUUUCACAAUGUCGGACUAAUAUGUCCCCGUCCACUGUGCCUCAAACGAUGGACCCCCACGGAAACUUCCAAGUAUUCACCGUAAGUCACGAAAAGAAGUGGAUACUUCUAACACGAACAAUUAGCAUUUUCAG